This 1352-nucleotide long non-coding RNA is filed under the name Homo sapiens (human). RNAcentral describes it as "HSALNT0322900". The record is from RNAcentral. Lineage: Eukaryota; Metazoa; Chordata; Mammalia; Primates; Hominidae.
CUUAGGCAGUGCCGCGCCGCACGGCCCGCGCCGGUUUCCAAGGUGAAGGAGGAGGAGCCUCUGAGGGAAAGUUUCCACAGAAACUUGAGCUGGGCGCAGUGUAGCACUCGCGCCCUUGGGGGCUAGCGUUUGGCCGGAGCUACACACUCUUUACUCACGCACGCACACCGCCGUACACAGCACAAUCGUUCACCGUCCCGCCAAAGGCUCGUCUCUCGGGUUCUGCCUAGUGGAAGGAGUCGGACAACGCCGCACGUCACGGGCGUUUCGGAUUUCUUGCUUCCCAAAGGUUUGACGGCGGCCACCGGCGCCCCGGCCCAGCUCUGCUUUCCUUUGCUGACUCCUUCCUUUAGCUGUCUACCACCACUGCUGCGCUUGUGGAUGACUGCAGGAACACCGGGUACUUGCCACAAGUAUCUCUCCAGAUUCAUCAGCCUUUCACCUGUGACAAGCUCAGUCAAGAAGUGGCUCCUAAGUAAAAGCUGGGGAAGAACAAGGAAGAUAGAGCUCAGAGUAGAAAGCUGUGAAGUUCUGCACAACAGGUCCCCUUGGCCUGCUCUAACAGUUGGAAGGUGGGGGAAGCAUUCAUUUACUCAACAAAUAUAUACUGAGUGCCUUUUGCAUGCUAGGCACGCUUCUAGGGGUUGAGGACACAGCAGAGAGCACAAACAACAAUUCCAGCCCUCGUGGAGCUUACCUCUUCCACGUGGGAAAGACAGAUGGUAAAUGUAUAAGGACAAUAUAUGGACUGCUGUAUGAUUAGAAAUGCUAUGGAGAGGCUAGGAGUGCUGUCUCAUGCCUGUAAUCCCGCAGUUUGGGAGGCCAAAGGAGGAGGAUCACUUGAGGCCAGAAGUUGGAGACCCAACCUGGGCAACAUAACAGGCAUGGUAGCUCAUGUGGAAGCUUCCCGAGGCCCUCACCCAGAAGCAGAUGCUGGAGCCAUGCUUGUACAGCUUGCAGAACUAAAGCCCAGCUGGCUUGGUUCCAUGAAUCUUUGCCCUUCUUUCCAUCCACUUCUUCCUGCUUGGACAUUGGUUACCUGGAGAAGCAGAAGCCAUUUUAAGAUGAUGAAAGCAAAAGUUAAAUGUAUGAGAUGAUGGUGCAGAAAGCCAAAAGGGGCCUCCAGAACACUGAGCUUUGUGGAGUCGUGUACCAUAGCUGUAUUGCCGACCUCUGAACUUCCUGCUGAGAUAAAAAACAAUCCUUAUGUGUUUAUACUACUUUUAUUUCAGUUUCUUUUAAGUAUAGCAAACACAUUCCAAAUAAUAUGCAUCUGAAGUUUUUGGUUUUGUUUUUAAAUUUUUUUUUUAGGGAUGGGUUCUGGCUGCGUAGUGGCUAGAGUGUAGUGGCUA